RNAcentral lists this non-coding RNA (26 nucleotides) under Rattus norvegicus (Norway rat). The record is from RNAcentral. Lineage: Eukaryota; Metazoa; Chordata; Mammalia; Rodentia; Muridae.
UGAGAAAUUCUUUAGGGAGCACAAGU